RNAcentral lists this ribosomal RNA (1490 nucleotides) under Triticum aestivum (bread wheat). RNAcentral's name for it is "partial small subunit ribosomal RNA". Lineage: Eukaryota; Viridiplantae; Streptophyta; Magnoliopsida; Poales; Poaceae. The record is from RNAcentral.
ACUACUGAAGGGCGCCUACGCCUACCUCGAAGAAUUAGUCGACCUACCUAAACUACUCGAACCGUUCCAUCUGACUGUAGUAGUUCAUAAAAAGAAGAGAUCUACGGAAAUACGGUAUAUACGUUUCCUAACCUAAGUUAGCUUCAAUAAACGAACGGACUUACAUACACACUAUACGUGAGAUCGAAAGGACCGAGGACCAAUUUCAUACCGUCAGAGCUCUGCUCAAAAUGUCUAAUUCAAAUAACAAGUAGAAAAUGUCUACCUUAUUUUUAACUCCUGAACUAACAACUGUACGGUUGUCUUCACGGAUUAAGAGACUAUCCGAAACCAAGAAUACUAUGAAAGAAUGACCCGAACAAAAUAAAAUAAAACCCUUUUGGGUACUAAAAUAGGAUUGGGCUUUAACGACUCCAUCCUAUUCUCAUUACCCUUAGGUUCGGGUUAAGAGGUAAAGUUACAUGUGUUUUAAUGACUACGUAGAGGUAAAGUUACAUGUGUUUUAAGUCAACCUCAUCUGAGGUUUAGAUGUUUAGUAAGAAGGAUGUUUUUCAUCUUUGUCUCGGAUAGCUGUGUUGGUCUUGUGAGAAAAUUGAGAAUUUGAAUCGUUCGUCAUUGAUAGGUCUCAUCAAGAAGUCUCGAGAUAGCUGUGUUGGUCUCAUCAAGAAAUCUCGAGAUAAGUCGGACUGUAGUUUCCCUCAGUUCAUAGCGAAGUCGAAAGAUAGGACGUUGUCUAUUAAUUUCUAACAGUCUUCCAACUUCCACCUUAGCUUGAGGCUCGAGCUCCGGCGACGCCAAAUCACCACUGACCAGCGCGGGCUAGAUCCAUUUUAGAAGCAGACUAAAAACCAGGUGUGCUGCUACUAGACAAAAAAGCCCUCAAAGAAGUCCUAGGCGAGCACACGGUCUCGGCCGAGUCCUACGGAAGGACCUGCUACUGCUUUGUUCGAACUUCGCUCACCUCGCGGCUUCCUCCUAGAGCCCCUACUUCCUCCGUAGCCGCUGCUGGAGUCUUUUCUCGCCGUCCCCCGGCGCGGGCACGACCACGACAGCGACUGCGAGGUGAGGUGAACCUGCCGUCGUUAACCCUCGACGGAAUCGCAUGAUGCACAACCUCCUGUUGCCGCACGUCCAGUACACGGACCACGAUCUGUACUACCGGCCCUGGUUUGGCAGUAGGCGUUGAUGAUCGUCGUCUUGUGUCUUCAGCAGAUACUGGAACUGUCCUGUACGACCGGAAACACAGCCGCGUCACGCUGUUCGAGCGUCGUAGUGAUAUCACAAAAACAUCUCUCUAUCUUAAACAUCAUGGCUAGUCCACUUUACGCGGUUACACCGUUACCAUGACUUGACUUCGUUGCCAGAAAAAAUUACUUUACACGAGAGCUAACAUUUCGAUCGGUUUUUCCCGACGACCUACUCGUAACAGGAUGGACCGUGGCGGGUCAGUGGGAAGUCCGCCGCGCGGGGUAAGUGAUCAGGUGAUCAUA